AUGUUACUGCCGACGCCAUGUAGCGGCAACUUGCAGCAGGAUCCCCGACCCCUUCCCAACGAGCUGCCUGCAGGAUUCAAGCAGGCAUGUGAAGAUGAGAAGAGCAGCAAGCUGGUGGGCAAAGUCUUCUUCUGCAGUGACAACAACCUCAUGAGCACCGGGCUGCACGACCGCCUGCAGCUGCAACAGAGGAGCGGGAAUGAGCUGCAGGCACUAGACGACCAGGACCUGGCUAAGUUGCCUUCAAGUGACGAAUUGAUGGAGCUUAAGCUGGCCUUCAACGCCACGGCUGGGCAGAGGUUGGGCAGCUGGCCUGCUGACACCAAUGCCUAA
Molecule: ribosomal RNA, 333 nt
Filed under: Triticum aestivum (bread wheat)
Lineage: Eukaryota; Viridiplantae; Streptophyta; Magnoliopsida; Poales; Poaceae
Description: partial small subunit ribosomal RNA
Source: RNAcentral